UUUAUGAUGUCUUUAUAUGAAAAAUAUUUAUAAAAAAUUAUGAAGAUAAAUAAUGCUAAUUUGAAGAAAAUAAAAAUAUGAAAAUAAUAAUAAUCUACCACUAUAUAUUAUCACAAGUUAUAUAGAGAUGGGUAAUAAUGCUAAUUAUUAAAUUUUAUUUAGGAAAUGAUGAAAAUUAAUUAGUGAGAUAUGAAUAUUUUGGAGAAUAUCUUUUAAUGGUACCAUUAAAACUUUUUAUAUUAAGCAAAAAAGGUAAAAAAAAUUAGUUCAAUAACUUAAUAACUUAAUGGCUGAAAUUUUUCAUUAAGUUGAAAAAAUAAAUAGAUUUAAUGACUUAAUUGAUUAAAAUUAAGUCAAUUAAGCCAAGUAAAAAAAGCAAAUGACCGCUAAGUCUCUGAAAUGCAAAAAAAAAAAAACACAAAAUUCGUGGGAGGAGCAUUUCAUUGUUGGAUUGGGAACAAAUGGAUUUAAAAAAUGAGAGAAUAAAAGUUGAAUACAAUUACCAAAAAGAUCAUAAAGCCAUCAUUUUUAAGAACAUGUAAAAUGGUAAACAAAAGUUGUUGAAUAAAAGUUGGAAUGUCCUAGAAUCAAUAGACUUGGAAGAAGAAUGUAAACAAAUUCUUGUGCUUGGGUUGUAUGUUAUCCAAUAGAACACGAUGGCAUGUCAAGAACAACCUUCACAAACCAUCUUGUAUAUUGUUUCUGUUUAAUGACUGUUUUUCCUUUCCUUUUCUCGAAACAUAUGCUUAAUGACUUCUUAAGCUGAAUAACCCGUUUCAGCUUUUAAUUGGACUAAAAUCCGUCUGAACCUUUUACCCUUAAAUUUAUGAGCAUAAUUGCGAACGCAGGGAAGUGGAUGUGGUGGGGGUGUUUCGCUACAAGAACACCUGGCCACUGUGUCUGGAGUUCCUUAGAAGCGGAAAGAUUGAUGUAAAGCCCCUUAUCACGCACAGGUUUGGUUUCUCCCAGAAAGAAGUGGAAGAGGCCUUUGAAACAAGUGCUCGUGGUGGUACUGCAAUCAAGGUCAUGUUUAAUCUGUAAGAUACAAUGUACUGCAAUCAAGGUCAUGUUUAAUCUGUAAAAUACAACGGCCAUGUAAACGUUUGGGCAAAAGAUUAAAUAAAAUGGAAUUGUCGCCGUGUAAUAUGAACCAAAGUUGAGCUUAUUAAUUUAUUUCUCAUCACCUUGCAGCCGCCGGCGUCAGAGUAACCGUCAUCUCGCUCUUGGCUAAUCCUAUCAGGCAAACUUUGCCUCCUGGACAAGUGGCAUUCAAAGCCGUUGACAUGGUUUUGUCAAACCCAACACAAUCAAAGCUCACAUCAAUGUCUGAACCCAUUGCAUUUUGUAUCUUCCCCACUUCUGUAUCAACGUCCUGCCAAUGUUUUUGCACAGCUUCAAGGCCUAGAAAAAAUUGGGAAAGUGAAAACAGAGUGAUAAUCAUCUAUAUCUGACAAUUAACCUCGAUAUCUGUUGAGAUUUAACUGUUUCAUCCGCGCCAAGAUUCCUCGCAAUAAAUAGACGCUGAACAUCAACAUCAGUGAUGACAAUUCUGGGGGCACCAAAUGCUCGAGCAGCUAACAGGGUAACAAGGCCUAUCGGUCCUGAUCCCAAGAUCAAUACAUUGGUUUCAGGUCCAACGUUUGCACAUUGCUCCUUCCUCCAAGCUCAUAUUUAUCAGGUAACUUGUAACAUAACUUUGCUGGAUGCACAACCUAGUUGCGGGAAAAAGAAAAUGUCUCCGUUAUUUACAAUUCUUAUGUACAUAGACCGCAUGUGAAAUUAAAAAAAUUCUAGUUUGGGAAGCUGAAGACAUCUGAUCAUUGACCUUAUGGGCAAGAGAGCCGUUGGUUGGAGGAGAUCCAAAGAAUCUCAUUUCAGGACAAAGAUUAUAGCUACCAGCUUUGCAGAGACUGCAGUGUUCGCAACUAAUACCAGGUUCUAGAGCCACACGAUCACCCACCUCAAGGGACUUAACUUCACUGCCAACUUCUUCUAUGAUCCCAGCACACUCAUGUCCAAUUACCAUAGGUUUUUUCACAAUAAAAUUGGCACAUCUCAUAGUCUGAUCAUAAACAACAUUUUGCAUACAAUAAGCAGUGACAGCCUUUGGCAUAUUAUACAGUCAUCAAGAUUUUGCAUAGAGACAGACAGAAAGCUUUUUUCACCUUGAAGUGAUGAACAUCACUUCCACAUAUUCCAAGAGCCUUCAUUCGUACUUUCACAUCUUGAGGACCUAAAAAUUACACAAUUUUUUAUUUUUGGGCAUGGCACGGCAUGACAAGUGAUCUGAUUAAAUUCACAGUUGUGCGUAUAGAAUAACGAGAAGAAGAUUAAAAUAUAAUACCUAGGGUAGGCAAAUGAUAUGGCUGAAUUUUCAGAGUUUUGAUUCCAAGCAGCCAUAUUCUGAUUCUCGUCUCCUUCGUUAUCUCUGAUUGCCUUAACUUCACCAUCAUCACCCUUCUUAUCGGCCAUUUCAAUGUUUCCCUUUUUUUCCUUUCCUCUCGUCCUCUAUUUACACAGUGUUAUUGUGUCUCGUAUUAUCCCCUGGAAGUGAAGCUGACUAGAUCCUAGUUAAAAUUGCCUCCUUUUUCUUUUCUUUUUCCCAUCUCAUUUCCCUUGUGCCUGCCAAACAAACUUCUUAAUUAUUAUAGUCACCUUUUUGUACAGGUAUUCCCUUCCCUCCCAUUAUUAAGUUAUUUAAAUUAUAUGAAUUUUAAAAUAUUAUUUCAUGUGACCAUAUUCAUUAAAAGAAGUCAUGAAAAUCAAAUUAUUGGCUUUCUUUUAGUCCAUAGUACCAUACAAUUCUUUCAUACCAUUUUGCAAAAUUAGCCACCUCCCACAUACAUGUAGUUGAUUUUGAUUCCUUUAUGAAGAUACAAUUAUUGCACAGUUUGGAUUUUGGGGUCCAUAAAUUCUGAAAAAAACAAAAUUAACAAACAACCAACGGUUCUGAAACCAAUAAAUUCUCUCCACGUAAGCACGUUAUCCUGUUGAAAAAGAAACCAUAAUCUCUAUUAGAUAGUGUACAGAGUGAAGUCUCUGCUGUGCACUUGUGUUUUUGAAGGGUGAAAAGCAAAUAUGGGCAAGGGAGGGAUGUCACAAGGAGAAAAGGAAGAUGGAGAAGAAGUUAACAUGGCAGCUUGGCUUAUGGGUGUCAACACUCUCAAGAUUCAGCCUUUGGAGCUUCCUUCUCUGGGUAUUUUUAUCUUUCUUUCAUCUCUGUCUUGUAUCUUAGAAGUGUUAUGGAAUUUGUUUAUUGGUUGAAGAUAUGAACUUUGUUAGGUUGAUAUAUAUCUAAAGAGAGAUCUUUGGUUGAAAAACAAUGAAAACACAUCUUCCAAUACAGCUUAUUUCAUACCUUUUACAAUUGAAUUAACUAUCACUCACAAUUAAUGUAUUUCAAACUGAUUGUUUUAACAUCUUUGUUCGUUAUUUGUAAACUGUAGGACCUUAUGAUGUUUUGGUCAGGAUGAAAGCCGUUGGUGUUUGUGGAAGUGAUGUGCAUUUUCUCAAGGUAUAUUUGUUAAUCCCUCUUUAACUUCCCUUAAAUUAUUAUUAUUAUUAUUAUUAUGGCAAUUACUCUGUCAAAUUGCUGAGAAAUGUUAAUAACGGAAUCUUUUCACUUUAUGUUAUUCAAAAUAAUACUUGAAUGUUGAAUGUUUGUGUAUUUUCGCAGACCUUGAGGUGUGCCGAUUCUGUUGUGAAAGAGCCUAUGGUGAUUGGGCACGAGUGUGCUGGGGUCAUAGAGAAGGUGGGAAGCGAGGUGAAGACUUUGGUGCCCGGUGACCGUGUGGCCCUGGAACCAGCGAUCAGCUGCUGGCAAUGUGAUUACUGCAAAGGAGGUCGAUACAAUUUGUGUCCAGAGUCGAAAGGUCUUGGAAGUCCGCCAGUUCAUGGUUGUCUGGCUAAUCAGGUUGAUUGAAAAUUUACAUUUUGAACUAAGUUCUAUAGGACUAUGAGAUGAGAAAUAUGGUAGACUGACUUUAACACAGUUUAUGCCCUUGUAAAUUUCAGUAAUGAUAUACUUACUACGGUUAGUAUAUACCAUCACUACAGAACAAAAAAAUUUGAUUACAAGAUAAAAGAAAAUUCCACUGUAAGACAAUUUUUUUUUUUUUUUUGCUUUCUCUUACAGAUUUUGUACUAAUAAUUAUACAUACAUUAUUAUUCUAUAAAUUUUACUGUUUGAGAUUUUUUAGUGUAUUAGAUUAUUACUACAAUAUGAUCUAUGCCCUUGUGAAUUCUGUUGUUAAAUAGUGGUGUCACUUUACUUGUUCUUCCAAAAACAUACUGGUUACUGUCAAUUGUGUAGUUCCCAUUUGAUCUUCUGUUCCCUCUUGUCAUAUAUUUUUUAUCUGGCAAUGUUUGUUGAUUCCUUUUAUUUGAAAUGAAAUUGGCUGCUAUCAAAAUUGAUCGGCUGCUUGACACAAUGACUAAGAUGCAUUUCUUCUCUAUAAUAGCUGGUGCAUCCUGCAGACCUAUGUUUUAAGCUGCCCGACAAUGUCAGCCUGGAGGAAGGGGCUAUGUGUGAGCCCUUGAGUGUUGGUCUUCAUGCCUGCCGCCGUGCCAAUAUCGGUCCUGAGACAAAUGUGCUUAUCAUGGGAUCAGGGCCCAUAGGACUUGUCACAAUGCUAGCAGCUCGUGCUUUUGGAGCUCCUAGAAUUGUCAUUGUGGAUGUGGAUGACUAUCGUUUAUCUGUUGCAAAGGAAAUUGGUGCAGAUAAUAUUGUUAAAGUUUCAACAAAUUUGCAGGUAUAUUACUGCUCAUUGCCCAGCAGAAGAGUUUAGAAAAGUAAAAGACAUCUCAAAAUCUUCAUGCUCGCAAUCCUUCCCUUUCUCUUAAUCAUCAUAACAACAUGUUCUGUUCAACCAACUCUGUUGCAUUAAGACCUUGUUCCAACUUCCUCAGUUCAUUUUUGUUCUCAGUACCUUUUUGUUUUAUGUUUGAAAGUUGACCACUCUAAUCUGCACUAUUCUUGUUAUCAGAGUAGAGGUGAGCUUGAGCUUUGGUUCGUUUGAAAAUUGUUCAUGUGCUCCUCACGCUUGUUUUUUCUGCUUGAAUAAACCGCUAUGAGUCUUGAGUAUUUUGCAGGACAUAGCUGAAGAAGUGGAAAAGAUACAGAAAGCCAUGGGGACAGGAAUAGAUGUGAGCUUUGAUUGUGCAGGCUUUAACAAAACCAUGUCAACAGCACUGAGUGCCACUCGUGCAGGUGGUAAAGUAUGCCUUGUGGGGAUGGGUCAUCAUGAAAUGACUGUCCCACUCACUCCGGCUGCUGCAAGGUACUUGAUUUACGGUUUUCUUUUUCAUUCUUUUUUUAUUGUUUUGGGCUACUCUGUUAUUUAGUUUUAAGUUUCUAAUUGGAUUAAGCAAAUUUACUUUAAGGUGGCGUUUAUUUUUUUGUCUCAAAUUUGAAUAAAUUUGAAUUAGUUUGAAUUCUUAAUAUAACUGAAUAUUUGAAUCUUAAUGAUAUAUUUGUUUUCCUUUUUUGUUUGAAUCGAUAAAAAUAAAUUUGAAGUUUUUUUUUACCUGAAAAAUGUAAAAACUAAUAUUUUUACAUUUAUUCCCUUACAAAUUAUAAAUGUUAAACAAAUAAUAAACAUCUCAAAGAAUAUAAAGAAAAUAAUAUAUUAUCAUAACAUAAAUCAUAUUCAAUUGAAUACAACUCUUUAAUAUUCUAUAUUAUAUAUAUUAAUCAAUUUUAUUAUAGUUUAUGAUGUUUUUAUAUGAAAAAUAUUUAUAAAAAAUUAUGAAGAUAAAUAAUGCUAGUUUGAAGAAAAUAAAAAGAUAAAAAUAAUAAUAAUCUACUACUAUAUAUUAUCACAAGUUAUACAGAGAUGGGUAAUAAUGCUAAUUAUUAAAUUUUAUUCAGGUAAGAAUGAAAAUUAAUUAAUUAAAUAUGGAUAUUUUAGAGAAUAUCUUUCAAUGAUUUAUUAAGACUUUUUAAAUUAAGCAAAAAAUUUAAAAAAAAUUAGCUUAAUAACUUAAUGAGUUAAUUGAUUAAAAUUAAGUAAAUUAAGUCAAGCCAAAAAAGCAAAUGAUUCGUAAGUCUCUAAAAUGCAAAUAAAAAAAUAACACAAAAAUUGGUAGGCAGGGGCAUUUCAUUGUUGGAUUGGGAACAAAUGGAUUUAAGAAAUGAGAGAAUUAAGGAUACCCGGAAAGAGCAUAAAGCCAUCAUUUUUAAGAACAUGUAAAAUGGUAAACAAAAGUUGUUGAAUAAAAGUUGGAAUGUCCUAGAAUCAAUAGACUUGGAAGAAGAAUGUAAACAAAUUCUUGUGCUUGGGUUGUAUGUUAUCCAAUAGAACAUGAUGGCAUGUCAAGAACAACUUUCACAAACCAUCUUGUAUAUUAUUUCUGUUUAAUGACUUUUUUUUUCUUUCCUUUUCUCGAAACAUAUGUUUAAUGACAUCUUAAGCUGAAAAACACGUUUCAGCCUUUAAUUGGACUAAAAUCCGUCUGAACCUUUUACCCUUAAAUUUAUGAGCAUAAUUGUGAAUGCAGGGAGGUGGAUGUGGUGGGGGUGUUUCGCUACAAGAACACCUGGCCACUGUGUCUGGAGUUCCUUAGAAGCGGAAAGAUUGAUGUAAAGCCCCUUGUCACGCACAGGUUUGGUUUCUCCCAGAAAGAAGUGGAAGAGGCCUUUGAAACAAGUGCUCGUGGUGGUACUGCGAUCAAGGUCAUGUUUAAUC
RNAcentral lists this long non-coding RNA (6686 nucleotides) under Citrus maxima (pomelo). RNAcentral's name for it is "long non-coding RNA (CMAX_LNC004007)". The record is from RNAcentral. Lineage: Eukaryota; Viridiplantae; Streptophyta; Magnoliopsida; Sapindales; Rutaceae.